AAAGAAGCAGAAACGUUUCGACCUGCUAAGAGGUCUUUGUCUAGCUUGACAAAGACCUCUUAGCAGGUUGAAACGUUGCUGCUCCUUUU
Non-coding RNA from Pelobates cultripes (western spadefoot toad), 89 nucleotides. The record is from the annotation of a GenBank genome assembly. NCBI's taxonomy places the organism in Eukaryota, Metazoa, Chordata, Amphibia, Anura, Pelobatidae.